This 288-nucleotide ribosomal RNA is filed under the name Escherichia coli. RNAcentral's name for it is "partial 23S ribosomal RNA". It matches the Rfam family "Bacterial large subunit ribosomal RNA", at positions 1178 to 1469 of the family's 2925-position model. The record is from RNAcentral. Lineage: Bacteria; Pseudomonadati; Pseudomonadota; Gammaproteobacteria; Enterobacterales; Enterobacteriaceae.
GGGCUAAACCAUGCACCGAAGCUGCGGCAGCGACGCUUAUGCGUUGUUGGGUAGGGGAGCGUUCUGUAAGCCUGCGAAGGUGUGCUGUGAGGCAUGCUGGAGGUAUCAGAAGUGCGAAUGCUGACAUAAGUAACGAUAAAGCGGGUGAAAAGCCCGCUCGCCGGAAGACCAAGGGUUCCUGUCCAACGUUAAUCGGGGCAGGGUGAGUCGACCCCUAAGGCGAGGCCGAAAGGCGUAGUCGAUGGGAAACAGGUUAAUAUUCCUGUACUUGGUGUUACUGCGAAGGGG